ACCUUAAUAGUUUAAAAAAAUAUUGGUCUUGUAAAUCAAAGAUAAGAUUAAUUCUUUUAAGGUA
Molecule: transfer RNA, 64 nt
Filed under: Lepidurus couesii
Lineage: Eukaryota; Metazoa; Arthropoda; Branchiopoda; Notostraca; Triopsidae
Description: tRNA-Thr
Rfam family: tRNA
About the family: Transfer RNA (tRNA) molecules are approximately 80 nucleotides in length. Their secondary structure includes four short double-helical elements and three loops (D, anti-codon, and T loops).
Source: RNAcentral